This is a long non-coding RNA of Ictalurus punctatus (channel catfish), 545 nucleotides long. NCBI's taxonomy places the organism in Eukaryota, Metazoa, Chordata, Actinopteri, Siluriformes, Ictaluridae. The record is from Ensembl.
CUUUGACAGGUUUAUAUAAUGCACUCGUUCUAAUACAUUACCGUUUCUAUAGUAACAACUUAAACAUGCAUGGUGUAUGCUCUAGUCUAUGUUAAUGUUACUCGCUGUCUAAUUGUUGUGCUUUGGAAUGUACUGUUGGAGGAAAAUAAUCAACUGUGGGGUGGGAAGAGUAACUCUGAUUCUUGUUGGGCCGCAUCACAUCAUCCUGUUGUUGAUCAUUUCCUGUAACAGCAUGGCCCCAGUGUUGUUGUUGUUUUUUUCUUACAUAAUCUUGGUACAAAUUUGUGCGUUGGUAUAAAUGAUGGAUGGGUGGAUGGAUAGGUGGGUGGAUGGAUGGACGGGUGGGUGGGUGGCUGGAUGGACAGAUGGGUGGAUGGAUAGGUGGGUGGAUGGACGGACAGAUGGAUGGACAGGUGGGUGGGUGGCUGGAUGGACAGAUGGGUGGACGGUUAGAUGGGUGGGUGAACGGACAGAUGGGUGGAGGGGUAGAUGGGUGGGUUGAUGGACAGAUGGAUGGAGGUGUGGGUGGGUGGACGGACAGAGGG